AACGAACGCUGGCGGCAUGCCUAACACAUGCAAGUCGAACGAAGGCUUCGGCCUUAGUGGCGCACGGGUGAGUAACACGUGGGAACCUGCCUUAUGGUUCGGAAUAACGUCUGGAAACGGACGCUAACACCGGAUGUGCCCCCCAAGCGAUUGGGUGGGGAAAGUUUACGCCAUGAGAGGGGCCCGCGUCGGAUUAGGUAGUUGGUGUGGUAACGGCGCACCAAGCCGACGAUCCGUAGCUGGUCUGAGAGGAUGAUCAGCCACACUGGGACUGAGACACGGCCCAGACUCCUACGGGAGGCAGCAGUGGGGAAUAUUGGACAAUGGGCGCAAGCCUGAUCCAGCAAUGCCGCGUGAGUGAUGAAGGCCUUAGGGUUGUAAAGCUCUUUCGCACGCGACGAUGAUGACGGUAGCGUGAGAAGAAGCCCCGGCUAACUUCG
RNAcentral lists this ribosomal RNA (440 nucleotides) under uncultured Azospirillum sp. RNAcentral's name for it is "bacterial SSU rRNA". It matches the Rfam family "Bacterial small subunit ribosomal RNA", at positions 29 to 505 of the family's 1533-position model. Lineage: Bacteria; Pseudomonadati; Pseudomonadota; Alphaproteobacteria; Rhodospirillales; Azospirillaceae. The record is from RNAcentral.